AAAGGACCCAGCGUUGCCCUUGCUAUGUAUAAUGUUGAUCAGGUUUGUCUUUAGACAGCUCGCCUGCAAAUUGAAUCUUUUUUACAGUCUUUUGCCUCAUCAUCUGGAUUUUUGUAAAAAUUUAUCGAUCUACUCGAGCAUUUGCAGAAUCAUCAAUGGCAAUGGCAUUUGCAAAAAAAAAUAAAAAAAUGGCCUCUUUACUUGAGCACAAAGAAUACAAUUCUUAAGAAGCAUGAUGUCGGGUUAUUUGUUUCGGAAAAGCUUGGUCAACUAUUAUCAUAAUAAUAAAAUCAAAUGUAUCUAUAUAAUACCAUUUACAUCAAUAUUUCACUAUUUCGGGUUCAAGGAUAUAUUUCAGAAGGUAUAUGAAGAGAAGUGGAAGGAGCAACUUGAAGAAUAUUCAAUAUGGUUGGCUUUAUAUCUUUGAUGCAUAUCACCUUAUGUGCCCAUUCACAUUGUUUUCUAAAACAUAUAUGCUUCCCCUAGGUGAAUGCCUGUAAAAAUCGAGACAUAAAAAAUAGAUUAAUGUGGCU
This 533-nucleotide long non-coding RNA is filed under the name Olea europaea subsp. europaea. Lineage: Eukaryota; Viridiplantae; Streptophyta; Magnoliopsida; Lamiales; Oleaceae. The record is from RNAcentral.